GACGAACGCUGGCGGCGUGCUUAAUACAUGCAAGUAGAACGCUGAAGAGAGGAGCUUGCUCUUCUUGGAUGAGUUGCGAACGGGUGAGUAACGCGUAGGUAACCUGCCUUGUAGCGGGGGAUAACUAUUGGAAACGAUAGCUAAUACCGCAUAACAAUGGAUGACCCAUGUCAUUUAUUUGAAAGGGGCAAAUGCUCCACUACAAGAUGGACCUGCGUUGUAUUAGCUAGUAGGUGAGGUAACGGCUCACCUAGGCGACGAUACAUAGCCGACCUGAGAGGGUGAUCGGCCACACUGGGACUGAGACACGGCCCAGACUCCUACGGGAGGCAGCAGUAGGGAAUCUUCGGCAAUGGGGGCAACCCUGACCGAGCAACGCCGCGUGAGUGAAGAAGGUUUUCGGAUCGUAAAGCUCUGUUGUAAGUCAAGAACGAGUGUGAGAGUGGAAAGUUCACACUGUGACGGUAGCUUACCAGAAAGGGACGGCUAACUACGUGCCAGCAGCCGCGGUAAUACGUAGGUCCCGAGCGUUGUCCGGAUUUAUUGGGCGUAAAGCGAGCGCAGGCGGUUUGAUAAGUCUGAAGUUAAAGGCUGUGGCUCAACCAUAGUUCGCUUUGGAAACUGUCAAACUUGAGUGCAGAAGGGGAGAGUGGAAUUCCAUGUGUAGCGGUGAAAUGCGUAGAUAUAUGGAGGAACACCGGUGGCGAAAGCGGCUCUCUGGUCUGUAACUGACGCUGAGGCUCGAAAGCGUGGGGAGCGAACAGGAUUAGAUACCCUGGUAGUCCACGCCGUAAACGAUGAGUGCUAGGUGUUGGAUCCUUUCCGGGAUUCAGUGCCGCAGCUAACGCAUUAAGCACUCCGCCUGGGGAGUACGACCGCAAGGUUGAAACUCAAAGGAAUUGACGGGGGCCCGCACAAGCGGUGGAGCAUGUGGUUUAAUUCGAAGCAACGCGAAGAACCUUACCAGGUCUUGACAUCCCGAUGCUAUUUCUAGAGAUAGAAAGUUACUUCGGUACAUCGGUGACAGGUGGUGCAUGGUUGUCGUCAGCUCGUGUCGUGAGAUGUUGGGUUAAGUCCCGCAACGAGCGCAACCCCUAUUGUUAGUUGCCAUCAUUCAGUUGGGCACUCUAGCGAGACUGCCGGUAAUAAACCGGAGGAAGGUGGGGAUGACGUCAAAUCAUCAUGCCCCUUAUGACCUGGGCUACACACGUGCUACAAUGGUUGGUACAACGAGUUGCGAGUCGGUGACGGCAAGCUAAUCUCUUAAAGCCAAUCUCAGUUCGGAUUGUAGGCUGCAACUCGCCUACAUGAAGUCGGAAUCGCUAGUAAUCGCGGAUCAGCACGCCGCGGUGAAUACGUUCCCGGGCCU
Molecule: ribosomal RNA, 1369 nt
Filed under: uncultured bacterium
Lineage: Bacteria
Description: bacterial SSU rRNA
Rfam family: Bacterial small subunit ribosomal RNA
Source: RNAcentral